CAGGCCUCUAACUUCCCUGGCUUUUCACUAAUUCCUCCAUCUGCUGGUGCCUAAAUUUUGUGAUGGGAUCAGAAGAAAGUAUAAAUGACCUUCUAAUGGAGAGACAAGAUGGCCCACGAAUAAUGGUGGCCCCCAGCUUGGUCCAGACACCCAGAAGAUCCCCAAGUGGAUCAAACCACCGCCCCUCUCUGCAAGGCGUCUUCUGAUCUCCCAUACAAGGUUUCUGAGGCAGAGCUUAUUUGUGACUGAUGGGUCCUAGGAAUGCUUCUCCUCUGGAUGCUUUCCAGUGAGCAGACAGCACUCAGGCCCUCCUACGAGGAGAUCAAGCUGGGCCAUUCCUUCCACAGGCUUUGGAAUCAACUGGCAGCCCAAGACUCCAUGACAGUUAUUAUGCAGCAGCUCCUGAAUGUAUCCACCUGUAUGUUCUCCUAUGUUGUUGUUUAUACAAUUUAUUUUCCCUGGAUUGCAAUUGUUUCCAUUCUCCCCUUCUUAAGUCCAAGUGUAUAUCUGUUUUGUGGUCAAGUAAUAUUUUCUUUAUCAAAUGUUCACAUGAUAAAAACAUAAAAAAGAGGUGAUUUUUAGGGGAUCAAUGAAGUUGGAUUUUUUUUUGGUCACAAAUUAAAUAAAAGUAUAGGUAUAACAAAUUUGCACAGAAUUAUUUUUUAUUUUCUUUGAAGUAAAUCAAUUACAAGUAUAUUCCUAUAGACAGAUAUUUGUCUUUAAAACUUCGUUUAUAUAUGUAGAGGUAUUAACUUAAUAAAUGCUUUAAUGAAGAAAAAUAUACAAGUUUAUACAUAUUUGACAGAAUAACUUGAAUUAUUUUUAAUAGGUACAUCUCUAGAAGUGUUUUGUUCUUUCGAGAUGUUAGAAUUUGGUCAUAUAACCAACAACAUAGAGAAUCACUCACAUAGAAGAAAUGUGAUACUAGCCAAAUAAAUCCCUUGAAUUAUUUACAAGAAGCAUUAAUUAUUUAUCCACUAGUUCAAUUGAUUUGAACUAUAACCAGGAAUAAAACAUAAGGGCUUUUUGCAGUAGGUUUAGGACUUGAAGAAUUUAAUCUCUUGAGUAUAAUAAAUGAACUUGUUCUCCAUAUUACUCCAUCUCCAGUCAGCAUAGCUUGAGACAAAUUUCUAUAUUAACUCUGUCAAUGUUCAUAUUGUUUAAAAUGGCAUGUAAAACACACAUGAUUAAAGUUAAAAUUAUUAUUUUAUUAUAUCAUUGAAUAAUUGAAAACAAAACUAUCUAUUCACUAAUCUGAAUAAGACUGAAUACAAUACCUAGUUAUUCUCUUUUACUGGAUACCCUUUGUUUUUCAACAUAAUUGUGUUAUUUGUUUACUUGUUUGAUUUUUACUCUUUAGAGCCUGUCUAAUAAAUAGUGUAUUUCUUGCAAACACAUUUACUUUGAGAAAGUGGGUACCAUACACAACAUUUUUAAAUGCUAUCUUUAAAUAUUGAUAAUGCUUCCAGGUAAGAGACAAAAUGUAUGUAUUUCAUGUUUCCAAAUAAAGUCUGUUUCUACUUGUAAAAAGUUAUUUUUUUUUGAAAAUUUUCUUUUAUUGGGUACUCAAUGACUAAUAUAUAACAUAAAAUAUUGUAACUUUUUGUGAAUUUUAU
This 1616-nucleotide long non-coding RNA is filed under the name Homo sapiens (human). RNAcentral describes it as "HSALNT0123005". The record is from RNAcentral. Lineage: Eukaryota; Metazoa; Chordata; Mammalia; Primates; Hominidae.